AUGAACGACUGGCGGCGUGCCUAAUACAUGCAAGUCGAACGAAACUUCUUUAUCACCGAGUGCUUGCACUCACCGAUAAAGAGUUGAGUGGCGAACGGGUGAGUAACACGUGGGCAACCUGCCCAAAAGAGGGGGAUAACAACUUGGAAACAGGUGCUAAUACCGCAUAACCAUAGUUACCGCAUGGUAACUAUGUAAAAGGUGGCUAUGCUACCGCUUUUGGAUGGGCCCGCGGCGCAUUAGCUAGUUGGUGGGGUAAAGGCUUACCAAGGCAAUGAUGCGUAGCCGAACUGAGAGGUUGAUCGGCCACAUUGGGACUGAGACACGGCCCAAACUCCUACGGGAGGCAGCAGUAGGGAAUCUUCCACAAUGGGCGAAAGCCUGAUGGAGCAACGCCGCGUGGGUGAAGAAGGUCUUCGGAUCGUAAAACCCUGUUGUUAGAGAAGAAAGUGCGUGAGAGUAACUGUUCACGUUUCGACGGUAUCUAACCAGAAAGCCACGGCUAACUACGU
RNAcentral lists this ribosomal RNA (512 nucleotides) under uncultured Lactobacillus sp. RNAcentral describes it as "bacterial SSU rRNA". It matches the Rfam family "Bacterial small subunit ribosomal RNA", at positions 36 to 506 of the family's 1533-position model. Lineage: Bacteria; Bacillati; Bacillota; Bacilli; Lactobacillales; Lactobacillaceae. The record is from RNAcentral.